Molecule: ribosomal RNA, 288 nt
Filed under: uncultured Pseudoalteromonadaceae bacterium
Lineage: Bacteria; Pseudomonadati; Pseudomonadota; Gammaproteobacteria; Alteromonadales; Pseudoalteromonadaceae
Description: partial 16S ribosomal RNA
Rfam family: Bacterial small subunit ribosomal RNA
Source: RNAcentral
GACUGCUAAUACCGCAUGAUAGCUACGGCUCAAAGGGGGCUUCGGCUCUCGCCUUUAGAGAAGCCCAUUUGGGAUUAGAUAGUUGGUGGGGUAAUGGCCUACCAAGUCAACGAUCCCUAGCUGGUCUGAGAGGAUGAUCAGCCACACUGGAACUGAGACACGGUCCAGACUCCUACGGGAGGCAGCAGUGGGGAAUAUUGCACAAUGGGCGCAAGCCUGAUGCAGCCAUGCCGCGUGUGUGAAGAAGGCCUUCGGGUUGUAAAGCACUUUCAGCGAGGAGGAAGGGUU